This 438-nucleotide ribosomal RNA is filed under the name uncultured bacterium. Its description in RNAcentral is "partial 16S ribosomal RNA". It matches the Rfam family "Bacterial small subunit ribosomal RNA", at positions 339 to 795 of the family's 1533-position model. The record is from RNAcentral.
CUACGGGUCGCUGCAGUGGGGAAUAUUGGACAAUGGGGGAAACCCUGAUCCAGCAAUGCCGCGUGUGUGAAGAAGGCCUUAGGGUUGUAAAGCACUUUCACCCGUGAAGAUGAUGACGGUAGCGGGAGAAGAAGCCCCGGCUAACUCCGUGCCAGCAGCCGCGGUAAUACGGAGGGGGCUAGCGUUGUUCGGAAUUACUGGGCGAAAGCGCGCGUAGGAGGCGCAUCGAGUUAGGCGUGAAAGGCCUGGGCUUAACCUGGGAACUGCGCUUAAUACUGGUGUGCUUGAGUCCGGAAGGGGGUGGCGGAAUUCCCAGUGUAGAGGGGAAAUUCGUAGAUAUUGGGAAGAACACCGGUGGCGAAGGCGGCCACCUGGUCCGGAACUGACGCUGAGGUGCGAAAGCGUGGGGAGCAAACAGGAUUAGAUACCCUAGUAGUC